Molecule: ribosomal RNA, 253 nt
Filed under: uncultured bacterium
Lineage: Bacteria
Description: partial 16S ribosomal RNA
Rfam family: Bacterial small subunit ribosomal RNA
Source: RNAcentral
UACGGAGGGAGCUAGCGUUGUUCGGAAUUACUGGGCGUAAAGCGCACGUAGGCGGCUUUGUAAGUUAGAGGUGAAAGCCCGGGGCUCAACCCCGGAAUUGCCUUUAAGACUGCAUCGCUUGAAUCCGGGAGAGGUGAGUGGAAUUCCAGGUGUAGCGGUGAAAUGCGUAGAUAUCUGGAGGAACACCGGUGGCGAAGGCGGCAUCCUGGACCGACACUGACGCUGAGGCGCGAAAGCUAGGGGAGCAAACGGG